RNAcentral lists this ribosomal RNA (440 nucleotides) under uncultured bacterium. RNAcentral describes it as "partial 16S ribosomal RNA". It matches the Rfam family "Bacterial small subunit ribosomal RNA", at positions 338 to 795 of the family's 1533-position model. The record is from RNAcentral.
CCUACGGGUGGCAGCAGUGGGGAAUAUUGCACAAUGGGGGAAACCCUGAUGCAGCGACGCCGCGUGAGUGAAGAAGUAUUUCGGUAUGUAAAGCUCUGUCAGCAGGGAAGAAAAUGACGGUACCUGACCAAGCAGCCCCGGCUAACUGCGUGCCAGCAGCCGCGGUAAUACGUAGGGGGCAAGCGUUGUCCGGAUUUACUGGGUGUAAAGGGCGUGCAGCCGGGAAGACAAGUCAGAUGUGAAAUCCCGCGGCUCAACCGCGGAACUGCAUUUGAAACUGGUUUUCUUGAGUACAGGAGAGGUCAUCGGAAUGCCUGGUGUAGCGGUGAAAUGCGUAGAUAUAAGGAAGAACACCAGUGGCGAAGGCGGAUGACUGGACGGCAACUGACGGUGAGGCGCGAAAGCGUGGGGAGCAAACAGGAUUAGAUACCCUUGUAGUC